UUUAAGUGCAGCCAUAAGUUUUCGCGUCUAACUUUAAUCAUCUUUCUUAUUUAAAAUUUUUUUCUAAUUAGUAUUUUUGUUGUUAUGAGAUGAUAAAACGUGAAUAGUACUUUACUCCUGACUUAUGUUUUUAAAUUUUUUUAAAAAUUUUUUAAAUAAAACGAACGGUUAAAAUUGAGCACGAAAAACCAAAGCUGCACUUAAA
Molecule: non-coding RNA, 205 nt
Organism: Oryza glumipatula
Lineage: Eukaryota; Viridiplantae; Streptophyta; Magnoliopsida; Poales; Poaceae
Source: Rfam